Molecule: transfer RNA, 57 nt
Filed under: Loxodonta africana (African savanna elephant)
Lineage: Eukaryota; Metazoa; Chordata; Mammalia; Proboscidea; Elephantidae
Source: Rfam by way of RNAcentral
UGGCAGAGUGGUUAAGAGUUUGGCUGCUAACCAAAAGGUCGGCAGUUCAAAUCCGCC